AUAUGUUGCGCUGCCGCAUCGUCACCUGAGAUCGAUUCUAUGGUGCAGCUGUCACGCGUAAUUACCUCUGCUACACCCAAGGCACAUCUGGUUGUGUUGCUGUUGAACCAUCAAAUCUCAAAGCUACAAAGAACUACAGCGUCCCGACAAGAUAAGGCGACUGUUCCCUCAUAUCAAAUUAAAAGCAAAAACAGCGUCCAGUAUCAAACAUCGCGUACAUGAAGCUAUUGGAAGAAAGACCACAGUUCAGAGGCAGACUCGGUCUCGUCGCGACUGCUGCUCGCUUCGUCGCAAGCUGCCCUACCAUGCUGGUGACGCGCCUCCGCCUCGCUCCGAGUUCAUCUCGAUCUGGGACGGUGUCGCCCUGUAUUAAGCCGACCCCGAGCCACAACAUCCUCUGAGCCGCCGCUCUUACGGUCGACUCCACCCGCUGUAUUGCGAUGAGCUCCGGCCACCCGCUCACCUG
Molecule: long non-coding RNA, 466 nt
Filed under: Hordeum vulgare
Lineage: Eukaryota; Viridiplantae; Streptophyta; Magnoliopsida; Poales; Poaceae
Description: long non-coding RNA (HVUL_LNC002265)
Source: RNAcentral